RNAcentral lists this ribosomal RNA (194 nucleotides) under uncultured bacterium. RNAcentral describes it as "partial 16S ribosomal RNA". It matches the Rfam family "Bacterial small subunit ribosomal RNA", at positions 340 to 524 of the family's 1533-position model. The record is from RNAcentral.
UACGGGAGGCAGCCGGGGGGAAUAUUGGACAAUGGGCGCAAGCCUGAUCCAGCCGUACCGCGUGUGUGAAGAAGGCCUUCGGGUUGUAAAGCACUUUAAGCAGGGCAGCAAAAAGUUAUAAGUUAAUACCUUAUAGCCCUGAUGUUACCUGCAGAAAAAGCACCGGCUAAUUCCGUGCCAGCAGCCGCGGUAAU